UGUGACAAGGCCACCUGAGCGAUCC
Molecule: unclassified non-coding RNA, 25 nt
Filed under: Mus musculus (house mouse)
Lineage: Eukaryota; Metazoa; Chordata; Mammalia; Rodentia; Muridae
Description: oocyte_clustered_small_RNA10805
Source: RNAcentral